This 24-nucleotide microRNA is filed under the name Pan troglodytes (chimpanzee). Its description in RNAcentral is "ptr-miR-1324". Lineage: Eukaryota; Metazoa; Chordata; Mammalia; Primates; Hominidae. RNAcentral also lists the same sequence under 1 other name. The record is from miRBase by way of RNAcentral.
CCAGACAGAAUUCUAUGCACUUUC